AGGGUGAAUCGAGGUCAGUGGGGGAACAGAAAAAGCCAAGCCCCUCCAGGGCACCUGAGAGCGAAAGAAGCCCAGAUUUUGGAGGGCACUGUCUUCUGGAGCGAUGUUAGUUCCAUAAGCUCCAGUCCUCCUCUGAGAGGGAGAUCAGGUGAUGGCAGCCAUGCUUCUGACAUCCUGGCCCCAGGGCAUGAGCCAUGGAAUUGGCCGUAGGGCAGCAGGAACCUGUUGUUUCAGAAGUCGGUGACCUUCGAGGAUGUGGCUGUGUACUUCACCCAGACGGAGUGGGAUGGCCUGUCCACUGCACAGAGGGC
Budorcas taxicolor (takin) is the source of this 311-nucleotide long non-coding RNA. RefSeq lists it as uncharacterized. The transcript has 3 exons. The record is from RefSeq and is a predicted model, not a curated record. NCBI's taxonomy places the organism in Eukaryota, Metazoa, Chordata, Mammalia, Artiodactyla, Bovidae.